GGCAGGGUAGCUCAGUCGGUAGAGCAGAGGACUCAUAAGCCUUUGGUCCCGAGUUCGAAUCUCGGCCCUGCUA
Molecule: transfer RNA, 73 nt
Filed under: Dehalococcoidales bacterium
Lineage: Bacteria; Bacillati; Chloroflexota; Dehalococcoidia; Dehalococcoidales
Description: tRNA-Met
Rfam family: tRNA
About the family: Transfer RNA (tRNA) molecules are approximately 80 nucleotides in length. Their secondary structure includes four short double-helical elements and three loops (D, anti-codon, and T loops).
Source: RNAcentral